This 253-nucleotide ribosomal RNA is filed under the name uncultured bacterium. RNAcentral describes it as "partial 16S ribosomal RNA". It matches the Rfam family "Bacterial small subunit ribosomal RNA", at positions 524 to 776 of the family's 1533-position model. The record is from RNAcentral.
UACAGGGGGUGCAAACGUUGCUCGGAAUCAUUGGGCGUAAAGCGCACGUAGGCGGUUCGUUAUGUCGGAUGUGAAAGCCCUUGGCUUAACCGAGGAAGUGCAUCCGAAACUGGCGAGCUAGAGUACUAAAGAGGAUCGCGGAAUUCCCGGUGUAGAGGUGAAAUUCGUAGAUAUCGGGAGGAACACCGGUGGCGAAGGCGGCGAUCUGGGUAGAUACUGACGCUGAGGAACGAAAGCCAGGGGAGCAAACGGG